UACGGGGGGGGCAAGCGUUGUUCGGAAUUACUGGGCGUAAAGGGCGCGUAGGCGGCCUGCUAAGUCACACGUGAAAUCCCUCGGCUCAACCGGGGAACUGCGUGUGAUACUGGCGGGCUUGAAUUCGGGAGAUGGAUGUGGAAUUCCAGGUGUAGCGGUGAAAUGCGUAGAUAUCUGGAGGAACACCGGUGGCGAAGGCGGGUCUCUGGGCAAUAACUGACGCUGAGGAGCGAAAGCGUGGGGAGCGAACAGG
Molecule: ribosomal RNA, 253 nt
Filed under: uncultured bacterium
Lineage: Bacteria
Description: partial 16S ribosomal RNA
Rfam family: Bacterial small subunit ribosomal RNA
Source: RNAcentral